CAGCCGCCGCGGGAAUACGAAGGGUGCAAGCGUUACUCGGAAUUACUGGGCGUAAAGCGUGCGUAGGUGGUUGUUUAAGUCUGCUGUGAAAGCCCUGGGCUCAACCUGGGAAUUGCAGUGGAUACUGGGUCACUAGAGUGUGGUAGAGGAUAGUGGAAUUUCCGGUGUAGCAGUGAAAUGCGUAGAGAUCGGAAGGAACAUCUGUGGCGAAGGCGACUAUCUGGGCCAACACUGACACUGAGGCACGAAAGCGUGGGGAGCAAACAGGAUUAGAUACCCCAGUAGUCCCUGUCUCUUAUAC
Molecule: ribosomal RNA, 301 nt
Filed under: uncultured bacterium
Lineage: Bacteria
Description: partial 16S ribosomal RNA
Rfam family: Bacterial small subunit ribosomal RNA
Source: RNAcentral